Molecule: small nuclear RNA, 130 nt
Organism: Cricetulus griseus (Chinese hamster)
Lineage: Eukaryota; Metazoa; Chordata; Mammalia; Rodentia; Cricetidae
Gene: U1
Rfam family: U1 spliceosomal RNA
About the family: U1 is a small nuclear RNA (snRNA) component of the spliceosome (involved in pre-mRNA splicing). Its 5' end forms complementary base pairs with the 5' splice junction, thus defining the 5' donor site of an intron.
Source: Ensembl
AUAUUUAUCUGGGGAAGAGAUGCCAGAGUUUUCCCAGGGCAAGGCUUACCUGGGUUGUGCUGGCCCCAGUGUGAAAAACUCAGCCCCAUAAUUUGGGAUUGUUGGGGGACAGUGUUUAUGCUGUUUCCUG